AGGCCGUGUUCCGCGCCGCUGUGUGAGCUGCUGUGCUGCUACUGCUGCCGGUGAUUGUAGUUUAUUAUAGAGUUAAUAUUAGAGUUUAUAUACCAGUAUAGAGUUAUAUAUGAACCGCGGCUGGGGAGAGAGAGGGGCCCGGGCUGCGGGCGCGCUGUGCGGGGCGGAGAGUGCGGGAACAUUGCGUGUAGAAUGAAGAACAGCAGCUCUGUAUGGAAGUGUAUUGGCUGGCUGGAUUAGCGGUCGCUCCUACAUCCGGUGGGUGAGUUCAGCAGAAAAGCCAGUCAGGAGGUCCAGAGGGUGCCAGUUUUAAUGCCCAUCAAACAGCUGGCAUGCUUUACGCGGUCCUGUUGCCGUGCCCGUGAUCUGAGAGGUUACACAGUGAACACAGUGGACACGAGGUCCGGUGGUAUCUCCCCAGCACCAACCCGCUCCACCCCCUCCUGUACCUGCUAAACCCCGCUCUCCCUCACUGUAAUGCCUAGAGAGCGACCCAUGGGACAUCGGCGAGGUCCUGCCAGCGGGCCGUCCUGAAGCCGGGGGGCUUUCUCUAGCCCACCGAUGCCUGUGAUCCCGAUCCCGCGGCGGGUGCGCUCCUUCCACGGCCCCCACACCACCUGCAUGCACUCGGCGUGCGGCCCCGCCCGCACCUCGCAGCUGGUGCGCACCAA
RNAcentral lists this long non-coding RNA (671 nucleotides) under Astyanax mexicanus (Mexican tetra). RNAcentral's name for it is "lncRNA (ENSAMXG00005012044.1)". The record is from RNAcentral. Lineage: Eukaryota; Metazoa; Chordata; Actinopteri; Characiformes; Acestrorhamphidae.